AUAAAAAUGUUGAACAGCAAUGGGCCCACCCAGGCAGACUGAGACCAAGAACAUGCACAGAGUGCAGCAAUCAAUAAGCACCAAGCUCAGCAGCCAGUCAGACACUCUCCAAAGACCUUCUUUUGUUUCCUGGCCCCCCAACAAAAAGCUGUCCUUGCUCAACGUCGCUACACCUUGCAUAAUCACACUUUGGCAUCCCAUGAGUUGCCUUGGCCACUCCUUGUGAACACAACCACGUGCUAUUGCAGCGUGCCCGACCGUUUCCUUCCUUCCUUCUUUGAAUGGAUUGCAUUUGCAUUCUGACUGCUGUCCAAGGAGCCAAGAGCCGCUUGUCUUCACAGCAACCCUGUGAAGUUAGCCAAGAAAGACAAGAGCGGCUGACCUGGGGGCCCCAGCUCAGAGGCCCCUCGUGGCAAGUUCUUUCCAGAUGCAGCAGGCAAUGGAAAGAGGGCACUCCAUCCACCUCUGCCCCCUUUCCUGCUCCCAGUCCCUCUCUUGGGAGGGCUGUGAUGGGUUCCCAGAGGAAAAGGCACCCAGGACAGCUUUGUUUACUCCAAAGCAAAACUGACAGCAAAGAUCAGCACUCCUCCGCUUUUGUGUUUUCUGGUUCUGGUUCAGGUUUGUGCACAAAGUGCUCUCCACCCCCCACCCCCCUUGGUGUAUGGAAACAUAAAAAGAAGAAAAAGACCAAGCAGAUGCUGAUAACAUCGCUUAGUAUCUGCUGCAGAGAGGAUGUUGUGGUUGCAAGCGCCUGGGUUCUCUCCACCUUGCUAGGCAGGCCAAGACUGCCAUGGAGUGGAGGGAGGGAGCCGUCACCAGCUCCACCACUGGUCUGGAGCUGCAGCCAAGCCCGAGGGUGUUUGCUGCUGGGCUGGGGCUUUGGGCGUCGCUUUGGACUCUGCAGGAUGUGGGAUGUGCUGCUGAUUGGUGAUGAACUGUUUGCCUGCCUGUGGCACAGAAACAGGCAGAUGCUCAACACUGAAGCUCUAUGGCUGCCGGAUGGGCAAAUAAACGCCGCCCCCAACUUUGUUAAAAAAAAAAGGGAAAAUGAUGUUUCAGUCUCACAAUGAGAAAACAAUCCCAGUAAAUGCUCUUCAUGGAGAGUGUAUUGGACGAAGUGACCUUCUUGGUCCCUUCCAACACAAG
RNAcentral lists this long non-coding RNA (1146 nucleotides) under Salvator merianae (Argentine black and white tegu). Its description in RNAcentral is "lncRNA (ENSSMRG00000020887.1)". Lineage: Eukaryota; Metazoa; Chordata; Lepidosauria; Squamata; Teiidae. The record is from RNAcentral.